AUUGAACGCUGGCGGCAGGCCUAACACAUGCAAGUCGAGCGGAUGAAGGGAGCUUGCUCCUGGAUUCAGCGGCGGACGGGUGAGUAAUGCCUAGGAAUCUGCCUGGUAGUGGGGGAUAACGUCCGGAAACGGGCGCUAAUACCGCAUACGUCCUGAGGGAGAAAGUGGGGGAUCUUCGGACCUCACGCUAUCAGAUGAGCCUAGGUCGGAUUAGCUAGUUGGUGGGGUAAAGGCCUACCAAGGCGACGAUCCGUAACUGGUCUGAGAGGAUGAUCAGUCACACUGGAGCUGAGACACGGUCCAGACUCCUACGGGAGGCAGCAGUGGGGAAUAUUGGACAAUGGGCGAAAGCCUGACCCAGCCAUGCCGCGUGUGUGAAGAAGGUCUUCGGAUUGUAAAGCACUUUAAGUUGGGAGGAAGGGCAGUAAGUUAAUACCUUGCUGUUUUGACGUUACCAACAGAAUAAGCACCGGCUAACUUCGUG
Molecule: ribosomal RNA, 484 nt
Filed under: uncultured bacterium
Lineage: Bacteria
Description: partial 16S ribosomal RNA
Rfam family: Bacterial small subunit ribosomal RNA
Source: RNAcentral